GCCAUUUUGAAUGGCAUAGCAGCUUGCCUGCAGUCUGCCAGUUCCACGCUCUCCAUCUAACACACUGGUGGUGGCACUGCCAAGGUGUAUUAGCACCUUGUUCAGAUCAGACACACCUUGCUCAUCUCUUUUGGCCUUUCCAAGGCAUCCAGAUCUCCCGAGGCAAGAAGAUUGACAAAAUUGUCAGACAUGGGCCUGCCUCUCAAAAUGGCCUCUCUGCGGGUGUAUGUGCUAUCGCUGUGAAACCACAGGGUGGCGACAGAUGGUAAGGAAUUGGUUUUCUCCGUCCGCUACAGCGACCAUCGUCUCGCAGGGCUGUAUGGCUUUCCCAAUAACCUACAAUAGUCCCAAAAGAUUAAAGAAAUCCUGUGUCAUGUGUAGGUUAAACGUUUUCACCACGAUUGGUUAACUGAAAUAUGAUAAAUAAUUGUUUGAGUUACAUUUGCUGCUAUUGGGUUUUGAUGUGUUAAUCCUGUUUGCAUUCAAAUAAUUUCUGUGUUGCCAUUAAACGAUAUCGUGUA
Molecule: long non-coding RNA, 521 nt
Organism: Sardina pilchardus (European sardine)
Lineage: Eukaryota; Metazoa; Chordata; Actinopteri; Clupeiformes; Clupeidae
Exons: 3
Source: RefSeq, a predicted model, not a curated record